GUCUUGUCAAUGAUGUUGUAAACACAAAUGUCUGAACAUAUGAGUUCCAGUGAUUCCAGAUUGAAACUGAGACAAGAU
Small nucleolar RNA from Megalops cyprinoides (Indo-Pacific tarpon), 78 nucleotides. RefSeq annotates it as small nucleolar RNA SNORD72. The record is from RefSeq and is a predicted model, not a curated record. The transcript has a single exon. NCBI's taxonomy places the organism in Eukaryota, Metazoa, Chordata, Actinopteri, Elopiformes, Megalopidae.